Long non-coding RNA from Cherax quadricarinatus, 1651 nucleotides. RefSeq lists it as uncharacterized. The record is from RefSeq and is a predicted model, not a curated record. NCBI's taxonomy places the organism in Eukaryota, Metazoa, Arthropoda, Malacostraca, Decapoda, Parastacidae.
CGCGGGAGAAGAUGACGUAUGGAUGCACGCUCCUCCGGGGGAGAUUGCUCCAAAUCCUUGGAUCAAGAGCCCAUCACCUGCCAGGUGUAUGCAUGUCACCGCUCUGGCCACAGCCAAUGAAAACGAGAGUUGCUAAGUUGGCGGAAAACAGAAGCCAAUUACAGCCUAGAUUUAACCUAUGACGUCACGGGUUCGAGCGCCAAAACCUAGCAGCCAAUCAGCAGUCGUGACGUCACUUGACGAGCCAAUCAAAGCGCACAGAGACUACUACGUCACAGUGGUGGUGUGGUGCGGGAGCCCCGUAUAACUUGCCUCAAGUCAUGCGCGGGAGAUGGCGUGAGGACGCGCGCUCCUCUGCCCACUGAAAGAUUUGGUUGAUGUCCGCCUGGAGCCUUGCAGUGUCUGCAAUGGAAGACACUGUCAUGCAGAUUCGGGUGUCAUCUGCAAAGGAAGACACUGUGCUGUGGCUGACAACCUUGUCUAUGUCGGAUAUGAGGAUGAGGAACAAGAUGGGAGCGAGUACUGUGCGAGUACUUCAGAUAUUUUAAGAAAUCUGAACUUCACAUCCCCAGCAAGAUAUUUGAAGUUCACAACCCCAGUAAGAUAUUUGAACUUCACAACCCCAGUAAGAUAAUUGAACUUCUCAACCUCAGCAAGAUAUUUGAACUUCUCAACCCCUGGAUGAUUUCAGUAGUAACCUCAUAACACUUAUUUUGGGCAAGUAGUUAGUUAAACCAAGACAACUAACAUGAAGUAAGUUAAUAUUUCUUCAUGUAUUCCUUGCUGUGUACUUUACCUUCUGUUAUAUUUAUUUUAUAUAAAACUGGUGUUUAUAAGAUUUAUAUUUUGGGAGCAUGUUUGUGUGUGAGUGUUGCUCAUACCUGCAUGCUGCUCAUACCAGGAUGCUACCCCUGGGUGCUGCACAUACCCGGGUGCUACACCUGGGUGCUGCUCAUACCUGGGCUGUUUAUACCUGGGUGCUGCUCAUAUCCAGGUGCUACACCUGGGUGCUGCUCAUACCUGGGUGCUGCUCACACCUGGGUGCUGCUCACACCUGGGUAGCACUUGGGCUAUCAGCCUGGGUAGCAUGGGCACUAUCAGCCUGGGUAGUGCUUGGGCUAUUAUCAGCCUGGGUAGCACUUGGGCUAUCAGCCUGGGUAGCACUUGGGCUAUCAGCCUGGGUAGCACUUGAGCUAUCAGCCUGGGUAGCACUGGGGCACUAUCAGCCUGGGUAGUGCUUGGGCUAUUAUCAGCCUGGGUAGCACUUGGGCUAUUAUCAGCCUGGGUAGCACUUGGGCUAUUAUCAGCCUGGGUAGCACUGGGGCACUAUCAGCCUGGGUAGCACUGGGGCACUAUCAGCCUGGGUAGCACUGGGGCACUAUCAGCCUGGGUAGCACUGGGGCACUAUCAGCCUGGGUAGCACUGGGGCACUAUCAGCCUGGGUAGCACUGGGGCACUAUCAGCCUGAGGCUACUGUCACCCUAGGUAGUACUGUCCUGCUUAAUGUAUGAAACUGCCUCUUGCAAUUAUUUAAGCUGCCAACCAUAUUGUUUUAAACCAUUUUAUACUGCCAAGCGUUUUAUAUCAUCUAAUGUUUUAUACCUUCUAAUGUUUUAUAUCUUCUAAUGUUUUAUAUCUUCUAAUGUUUUAU